RNAcentral lists this ribosomal RNA (267 nucleotides) under uncultured prokaryote. RNAcentral's name for it is "partial 16S ribosomal RNA". It matches the Rfam family "Bacterial small subunit ribosomal RNA", at positions 524 to 789 of the family's 1533-position model. The record is from RNAcentral.
UACGUAGGUGGCGAGCGUUAUCCGGAAUUAUUGGGCGUAAAGAGCGCGCAGGUGGUUGAUUAAGUCUGAUGUGAAAGCCCACGGCUUAACCGUGGAGGGUCAUUGGAAACUGGUCGACUUGAGUGCAGAAGAGGGAAGUGGAAUUCCAUGUGUAGCGGUGAAAUGCACAGAUAUCCUGAGGAACACCGGUGGCGAAAGCGGUCUUCUGGCGCGAAACUGACGCUGAGGCUCGAAAGCGUGGGUAGCAAACGGGGAUUAGAUACCCCU